GACGAACGCUGGCGGCGUGCUUAACACAUGCAAGUCGAACGAUGAAGCCGGAGCUUGCUCCGGUGGAUUAGUGGCGAACGGGUGAGUAACACGUGAGCAAUCUGCCCUUGACUCUGGGAUAACUGCGGGAAACUGUAGCUAAUACCGGAUACGACACCUUGGGGCAUCCCAGGGUGUGGAAAGAAUGUCGGUCAAGGAGGAGCUCGCGGCCUAUCCGCUAGUUGGUGAGGUAAUGGCUCACCAAGGCGACGACGGGUAGCCGGCCUGAGAGGGUGACCAGGCACACUGGAACUGAGACACGGUCCAGACUCCUACGGGAGGCAGCAGUGGGGAAUAUUGCACAAUGGGCGAAAGCCUGAUGCAGCAACGCGGCGUGAGGGAUGAAGGCCUUCGGGUUGUAAACCUCUGUUAGCAGGGAAGAAGCGAAAGUGACGGUACCUGCAGAAAAAGCACCGGCUAACUACGUGCCAGCCGCCGCAGUAA
Molecule: ribosomal RNA, 483 nt
Filed under: uncultured bacterium
Lineage: Bacteria
Description: partial 16S ribosomal RNA
Rfam family: Bacterial small subunit ribosomal RNA
Source: RNAcentral